AUGAGUGUCGCCUUGAAGCCUUGGAUUUUCACUCCUGAAGGAAUAAGUUUUGGCUUAGGGCUUGACCAACCUGCAGUUAGAGAUGACAACAGUUCUCUGGGCACAAAUCUGUCACCUCCUUCCUCUGUGGAUUCCUUGACAACCCAGUUAACGAACUGCAGCCAAAAAAAUUCCUCAAGCGGUCUUCCGAAAAGAGAUUCAGAGAAAUGGAGUACAGUGCUGCAACCACAAUUGGACUGGCUUCCUUUUCUCUUUAAAGUGAAGAGAGCUGUUGCCUGAAGACCCAGCCAGCCUGACAGCGAUGGGUGCCACACUCCCAGGUGUAUCCUUCCCGCAAGCCUGCCCGGGUCGUCUCCUGUCGCUAAUUCCGCACUCAGCCUCCGUCCCUAGAGCGCGAGUCCUCGGGGAUCGCGGGGGCUGGGCCCUCGCAGGACAGUAGGCGCUGGACACCGGGGCGCGGGACUGCGGUAGCGGCACGGGAUGUGGGGGACAGGCGCGGCCGGAGCCUCCACCCCGGUCUAAACCUGUAUCUACCUCCCUGGCCAACCUGGUUCAGUUCUCAUUUCCGCGCCAGCGAGGGAGAGGUCUGGGCUCCGGGUGGGGAGGGGGUGUGGAGCCUCAGUUUCCCCGGCGCGUCCGCGGCCAGGACUUUCCCCCUGCGCAGGCAGGAAGGGGUUAAACGCGCCCCUCUCCCAGCCUCGGGUCGAGCGCUGGCGCUGGGCGAGGCCG
Molecule: long non-coding RNA, 729 nt
Filed under: Cavia porcellus (domestic guinea pig)
Lineage: Eukaryota; Metazoa; Chordata; Mammalia; Rodentia; Caviidae
Description: lncRNA (ENSCPOG00000030633.1)
Source: RNAcentral